AUACAGAGGGUGCGAGCGUUAAUCGGAAUUACUGGGCGUAAAGCGCGCGUAGGCGGUUAUUUAAGUCAGAUGUGAAAUCCCAGGGCUCAACCUUGGAACUGCAUCUGAUACUGGAUAACUAGAGUUUAGGAGAGGGAAGUAGAAUUUCAGGUGUAGCGGUGAAAUGCAUAGAGAUCUGAAGGAAUACCAGUGGCGAAGGCGACUUCCUGGCCUAAAACUGACGCUGAGGUGCGAAAGCGUGGGUAGCAAACGGGAUUAGAAACCCGGGUAGUCC
Molecule: ribosomal RNA, 274 nt
Filed under: uncultured bacterium
Lineage: Bacteria
Description: partial 16S ribosomal RNA
Rfam family: Bacterial small subunit ribosomal RNA
Source: RNAcentral